Molecule: ribosomal RNA, 201 nt
Filed under: Gymnura natalensis (butterfly ray)
Lineage: Eukaryota; Metazoa; Chordata; Chondrichthyes; Myliobatiformes; Gymnuridae
Description: partial large subunit ribosomal RNA
Source: RNAcentral
UUUCCUUCCCGGACAUAAAUACAAAAAUAAUCUUCUAACUUAACUUGUUUUUGGUUGGGGCGACCAAGGGGAAAAACGAAACCCCCUUAUCGAACAUGUAAAAUGUUACUUAAAAUUAGAAUGACAGUUCUAAUUAAUAGAAAAUCUAACGAACAAUGACCCAGGAAAGACAUUUCCUGAACAAUGAACCAAGUUACCCUA